GUGUCAGCAGCCGCGGUAAUACGUAGGAGGCAAGCGUUAUCCGGAUUUAUUGGGCGUACAGAGAGUGUAGGCGGCUCGUCAAGUCGAAUGUAAAAUCUUCCGGCUUAACUGGAAGGGAUCAUUCGAUACUGACGGACUGGAGUGCAGUAGAGGAAAGCGGAAUUCCCGGUGUAGUGGUGAAAUGCGUAGAUAUCGGGAGGAACACCAGUGGCGAAGGCGGCUUUCCAGGCUGCUACUGACGCUGAGGCUCGAAAGCGUGGGGAGCAAACAGGAUUAGAUACCCUGGUAGUCCACGCUGUAAACUAUGGACACUAGGUAUGGGGAGUAUCGACCCUUCCCGUGCCGAAGUUAACGCAUUAAGUGUCCCGCCUGGGGAGUACGGUCGCAAGACUAAAACUCAAAUGAAUUGACGGGG
RNAcentral lists this ribosomal RNA (415 nucleotides) under uncultured prokaryote. Its description in RNAcentral is "bacterial SSU rRNA". It matches the Rfam family "Bacterial small subunit ribosomal RNA", at positions 505 to 918 of the family's 1533-position model. The record is from RNAcentral.